Tilletiopsis washingtonensis is the source of this 93-nucleotide non-coding RNA. Lineage: Eukaryota; Fungi; Basidiomycota; Exobasidiomycetes; Entylomatales. The record is from the annotation of a RefSeq genome assembly.
UCCUAGUUAGUACAGUGGUCAGUAUAUCCGCCUCUCAUUCAAGCUUCGGCUCAGUGGGCGCGGAUGGCCGGGGUUCGAUUCCCCGACUGGGAA